ACCAGAAUGAGCUGGAAUGACCUCUAGAGAUGUUCUGAGGUCAGCAGGCCAGACCAUUCCUCCUGGAGCCAAUGCUUCAUCGAAUUUUGAUAGGUCCCGGCCCACCCUGCUUGUCCUGUGCCCCUCCUGGCACUGUCUGCUUCAGCCAGGGCUGGCACUCUGUCAGCUUUUGGAACAUAGCUAUGAGCCUUGGAAAGCUGGAGUUUGGUUUAGCAGAGAAAUGCAUUUGAAAUCUUCCCUCUGGACCCCUCCUCACCUCCCUCCAGGACCAAUUUAUCUGCCAGUCCAGCCUCUAAGUGGAGUUGGGGCCAGUUGGAGACCUGCCCAUGCUUGUCACCCUCUGUGGCCAGAUGACAGGACAGCAGCACACAGCUGGGAGAGGGCUGGAAAGUCCCGUGUGCACCUCAUGCUGAACUGGGGAGGCCAGAAGCUUCCAGGCUGCCAAGGAGGGAUGGAGGAGAGGGAGGCCCUUUCCCUCAGGGAGACACUAAGCCUUGGAAUGUGUCCAUGUGAGAGAACAGGCGCAGACGCUAAGGCCCUUGCUCGAGGUCACAUGGGGAACGAGGACAUGCAAUCGGUCAGUAGCCUGUUGCCUCUCCCAGCAGGGAGCUAUGGGAGGCGUUCCCCACGGCUGCAACACAGCACACUUGUCUAUUCAUCCCGUCACCAUUCACUCAUUUGUUCAUUCAUUCCCUCAAAACGCGGCCGCUCGCUUACUCUAUGCCAGAUGCCGUGCUAAGGCCAACUUGAAGAUUGACUGGGGUGAGAAGGUGAACUGAGCUUCGGAGCAGAGCAGCUGACAGAGGCAGGGCAGGGUGAAGGCACCCACAUGGUGUGUGUCCCCCCACUGCUCAGGGGCUGCAGCUCCUUCUCACAGCCCUUCUGGGGCUCCUGGGCCUGCUGCUUCUGCGCUGCAGAGCCGAGAACCCUCGGGAGCCUGCACCCCAAGCCCUGGGCACACUGUGCUUCUCACCCUAAGAGCACUGGUCCUACAGGCGCUUGUUGUUUGAAGUUUCCUUCUGGCUUACGGCUUCCAGAACUUCCUACAGCGGUACAGGAG
RNAcentral lists this long non-coding RNA (1060 nucleotides) under Aotus nancymaae (Ma's night monkey). RNAcentral's name for it is "lncRNA (ENSANAG00000039020.1)". The record is from RNAcentral. Lineage: Eukaryota; Metazoa; Chordata; Mammalia; Primates; Aotidae.